Molecule: ribosomal RNA, 429 nt
Filed under: Chloroflexota bacterium
Lineage: Bacteria; Bacillati; Chloroflexota
Description: Chloroflexi bacterium partial 16S ribosomal RNA
Rfam family: Bacterial small subunit ribosomal RNA
Source: RNAcentral
UGGGGAAUAUUGCACAAUGGGCGCAAGCCUGAUGCAGCCAUGCCGCGUGUAUGAAGAAGGCCUUCGGGUUGUAAAGUACUUUCAGCGGGGAGGAAGGGAGUAAAGUUAAUACCUUUGCUCAUUGACGUUACCCGCAGAAGAAGCACCGGCUAACUCCGUUCCAGCAGCCGCGGUAAUACGGAGGGUGCAAGCGUUAAUCGGAAUUACUGGGCGUAAAGCGCACGCAGGCGGUUUGUUAAGUCAGAUGUGAAAUCCCCGGGCUCAACCUGGGAACUGCAUCUGAUACUGGCAAGCUUGAGUCUCGUAGAGGGGGGUAGAAUUCCAGGUGUAGCGGUGAAAUGCGUAGAGAUCUGGAGGAAUACCGGUGGCGAAGGCGGCCCCCUGGACGAAGACUAACGCUCAGGUGCGAAAGCGUGGGGAGCAAACAGG